RNAcentral lists this ribosomal RNA (497 nucleotides) under uncultured bacterium. RNAcentral's name for it is "partial 16S ribosomal RNA". It matches the Rfam family "Bacterial small subunit ribosomal RNA", at positions 28 to 507 of the family's 1533-position model. The record is from RNAcentral.
GAUGAACGCUGGCGGCGUGCCUAAUACAUGCAAGUCGAGCGAACAGACGAGGAGCUUGCUCCUCUGACGUUAGCAGCGGACGGGUGAGUAACACGUGGAUAACCUACCUAUAAGACUGGGAUAACUUCGGGAAACCGGAGCUAAUACCGGAUAAUAUAUUGAACCGCAUGGUUCAAUAGUGAAAGACGGUUUUGCUGUGACUUAUAGAUGGAUCCGCGCCGCAUUAGCUAGUUGGUAAGGUAACGGCUUACCAAGGCAACGAUGCGUAGCCGACCUGAGAGGGUGAUCGGCCACACUGGAACUGAGACACGGUCCAGACUCCUACGGGAGGCAGCAGUAGGGAAUCUUCCGCAAUGGGCGAAAGCCUGACGGAGCAACGCCGCGUGAGUGAUGAAGGUCUUCGGAUCGUAAAACUCUGUUAUUAGGGAAGAACAAAUGUGUAAGUAACUAUGCACGUCUUGACGGUACCUAAUCAGAAAGCCACGGCUAACUACGUG